This 428-nucleotide ribosomal RNA is filed under the name uncultured bacterium. RNAcentral describes it as "partial 16S ribosomal RNA". It matches the Rfam family "Bacterial small subunit ribosomal RNA", at positions 354 to 796 of the family's 1533-position model. The record is from RNAcentral.
GUGGGGAAUAUUGGGCAAUGGGCGCAAGCCUGACCCAGCAACGCCGCGUGAAGGAAGAAGGCUUUCUGGUUGUAAACUUCUUUUACCAGGGACGAAACAAAUGACGGUACCUGGUGAAUAAGCCACGGCUAACUACGUGCCAGCAGCCGCGGUAAUACGUAGGUGGCGAGCGUUAUCCGGAUUUAUUGGGUGUAAAGGGCGUGUAGGCGGGACAGCAAGUCAGAUGUGAAAACCAGAGGCUCAACCUCUGGCCUGCAUUUGAAACUGUUGUUCUUGAGUGUCGGAGAGGUAAUCGGAAUUCCGUGUGUAGCGGUGAAAUGCGUAGAUAUACGGAGGAACACCAGUGGCGAAGGCGACUCACUGGCCCAAUACUGACGCUGAGGCGCGAAAGCGUGGGGAGCAAACAGGAUUAGAAACCCUGGUAGUCC